UGGGGAAUUGUUCGCAAUGGGCGCAAGCCUGACGACGCAACGCCGCGUGGAGGAUGAAGACCUUCGGGUCGUAAACUCCUUUCGAUCGAGACGAAUGGCCUCCGGGUGAACAAUCCGGAGGAGUGACGGUACCGAGAGAAGAAGCCCCGGCUAACUCUGUGCCAGCAGCCGCGGUAAUACGGAGGGUGCAAGCGUUGUUCGGAAUUACUGGGCGUAAAGCGCGUGUAGGUGGUCGAGUAAGUCGAAUGUGAAAGCCCCGGGCUCAACCCGGGAAGUGCAUCCGAAACUGCUCGACUAGAGUCCCGGAGAGGAAGGCAGAAUUCCCAAUGUAGGGGUGAAAUCCGUAGAUAUUGGGAGGAAUACCGGUGGCGAAGGCGGCCUUCUGGACGGUGACUGACACUCAGACGCGAAAGCGUGGGGAGCAAACAGGAUUAGAUACCCUAGUAGUCCCUGAGCGGGC
RNAcentral lists this ribosomal RNA (460 nucleotides) under uncultured bacterium. Its description in RNAcentral is "bacterial SSU rRNA". It matches the Rfam family "Bacterial small subunit ribosomal RNA", at positions 355 to 804 of the family's 1533-position model. The record is from RNAcentral.